RNAcentral lists this ribosomal RNA (253 nucleotides) under uncultured bacterium. RNAcentral's name for it is "partial 16S ribosomal RNA". It matches the Rfam family "Bacterial small subunit ribosomal RNA", at positions 524 to 776 of the family's 1533-position model. The record is from RNAcentral.
UACGUAGGUGGCAAGCGUUGUCCGGAUUUACUGGGCGUAAAGAGCGCGCAGGCGGUCGUCCAAGUCGCGUGUGAAAGCCCCCGGCUCAACUGGGGAGGGUCAUUCGAUACUGUUCGACUCGAAGGCAGGAGAGGGAAGUGGAAUUCCCGGUGUAGUGGUGAAAUGCGUAGAUAUCGGGAGGAACACCAGUGGCGAAGGCGACUUCCUGGCCUGUUCUUGACGCUGAGGCGCGAAAGCUAGGGGAGCAAACGGG